UUGGUGGCAUUGCAGAUGGAUGGGCUGAGACUUGAGAAGGUAUAUUGAAAUGAUUGUGUACUCCUUGAGAAGGCAUCAUGCCUGAAGGAGGUAAUUGAUUGUGUACUCCAUGAGAAGGCAUCAUGCCUGAAGGAGGUAAUGCACCUUGUGGAGGAGCCAUGGAAGGGAACAUAUUUUCCUGUAUCAUAUUCAGAAUUAUCAACAUGUAAUCACUAGACUAUUGUAUAUGUACUUUGGUAAGUCAGGUUGUUCGAUUGUAUAUGUUGACCGAGUAAAGUGAAAGGGUAUAACUAAUUAACUCAUUAAGAGCUUAAGUCAACAUCAGCUCAGCUGCCAAGUAGCAAUUUCGCUAAAAACUAAUUUCCAAAACAUGCUUACUUUC
RNAcentral lists this long non-coding RNA (382 nucleotides) under Capsella grandiflora. Its description in RNAcentral is "long non-coding RNA (CGRA_LNC000670)". Lineage: Eukaryota; Viridiplantae; Streptophyta; Magnoliopsida; Brassicales; Brassicaceae. The record is from RNAcentral.